GUCUCUAAAAAACUGAGCACCCAAUAGUUGUCCCAGAUGCUCUGCUCCUGUCUGUCUACACUGGUGAGCUGAUCUCAAGUCAAUGCCUCUCAAAUGUAUAGUUCAGAUGAUUUAUGUUUACCUCAUUUAAAUAUCUUCCACAUUCUGAAUAUUAAAAUUCCAAAGUUAACCUCUUAUUUCACACAUGAAUACAAAUAUGCACACAGAUUCUCUGAUAUCACCUUCAUUUAUCCCUGUUAGUAAAUGGUACAAUAUUAUUU
This 260-nucleotide long non-coding RNA is filed under the name Bos taurus (domestic cattle). RNAcentral's name for it is "long non-coding RNA NONBTAT024061". Lineage: Eukaryota; Metazoa; Chordata; Mammalia; Artiodactyla; Bovidae. The record is from RNAcentral.